GACGAACGCUGGCGGCGUGCUUAACACAUGCAAGUCGAACGGAAAGGCCCUGCUUUUGUGGGGUGCUCGAGUGACGAACGGGUGAGUAACACGUGAGUAACCUGCCCUUGACUUUGGGAUAACUUCAGGAAACUGGGGCUAAUACCGUAUAGGAGCUCCUGCUGCAUGGUGGGGGUUGGAAAGUUUCGGCGGUUGGGGAUGGACUCGCGGCUUACCAGCUUGUUGGUGGGGUAGUGGCUUACCAAGGCUUUGACGGGUAGCCGGCCUGAGUGGGUGACCGGCCACAUUGGGACUGCGAUACGGCCCAGACUCCUACGGGAGGCAGCAGUGGGGAAUAUUGCACAAUGGGCGGAAGCCUGAUGCAGCAACGCCGCGUGCGGGAUGACGGCCUUCGGGUUGUAAACCGCUUUCGCCUGUGACGAAGCGUGAGUGACGGUAAUGGGUAAAGAAGCACCGGCUAACUACGUG
This 468-nucleotide ribosomal RNA is filed under the name uncultured bacterium. RNAcentral's name for it is "partial 16S ribosomal RNA". It matches the Rfam family "Bacterial small subunit ribosomal RNA", at positions 28 to 507 of the family's 1533-position model. The record is from RNAcentral.